CCGAAGCCAGUCGCAGAUACCAGCUGGCUGCAACUGUUUAAUAAAAACACAGCACUGUGCAAACACGAAAGUGGACGUAUACGGUGUGACGCCUGCCCGGUGCUGGAAGGUUAAUUGAUGGGGUCAGCCGCAAGGCGAAGCUCUUGAUCGAAGCCCCAGUAAACGGCGGCCGUAACUAUAACGGUCCUAAGGUAGCGAAAUUCCUUGUCGGGUAAGUUCCGACCUGCACGAAUGGCGUAAUGAUGGCCAGGCUGUCUCCACCCGAGACUCAGUGAAAUUGAACUCGCUGUGAAGAUGCAGUGUACCCGCGGCAAGACGGAAAGACCCCGUGAACCUUUACUAUAGCUUGACACUGAAUAUUGAGCCUUGAUGUGUAGGAUAGGUGGGAGGCAUCGAAGCGUGGACGCCAGUCUGCGUGGAGCCAACCUUGAAAUACCACCCUUUAAUGUUUGAUGUUCUAACUCGGCCCCAUAAUCUGGGGUGAGGACAGUGUCUGGUGGGUAGUUUGACUGGGGCGGUCUCCUCCCAAAGAGUAACGGAGGAGCACGAAGGUUAGCUAAUCACGGUCGGACAUCGUGAGGUUAGUGCAAAGGCAUAAGCUAGCUUGACUGCGAGAGUGACGGCUCGAGCAGGUACGAAAGUAGGUCUUAGUGAUCCGGUGGUUCUGAAUGGAAGGGCCAUCGCUCAACGGAUAAAAGGUACUCCGGGGAUAACAGGCUGAUACCGCCCAAGAGUUCAUAUCGACGGCGGUGUUUGGCACCUCGAUGUCGGCUCAUCACAUCCUGGGGCUGAAGUAGGUCCCAAGGGUAUGGCUGUUCGCCAUUUAAAGUGGUACGCGAGCUGGGUUUAGAACGUCGUGAGACAGUUCGGUCCCUAUCUGCCGUGGGCGUUGGAAGAUUGAGAGGGGCUGCUCCUAGUACGAGAGGACCGGAGUGGACGCAUCACUGGUGUUCGGGUUGUCAUGCCAAUGGCAUUGCCCGGUAGCUAAAUGCGGAAAAGAUAAGCGCUGAAAGCAUCUAAGCGCGAAACUUGCCUCGAGAUGAGUCUUCCCUGGGGCUUUAAGCCCCCUGAAGGAACGUUAAAGACUAUGACGUUGAUAGGCUGGGUGUGUAAGUGCAGCGAUGCAUUGAGCUAACCAGUACUAAUGAUCCGUGAGGCUUAACCUUACAACACCGAAGGUGUUU
This 1184-nucleotide ribosomal RNA is filed under the name Yersinia ruckeri. RNAcentral's name for it is "bacterial LSU rRNA". It matches the Rfam family "Bacterial large subunit ribosomal RNA", at positions 1767 to 2925 of the family's 2925-position model. Lineage: Bacteria; Pseudomonadati; Pseudomonadota; Gammaproteobacteria; Enterobacterales; Yersiniaceae. The record is from RNAcentral.